UGGGGAAUAUUGGACAAUGGGCGAAAGCCUGAUCCAGCCAUGCCGCGUGUGUGAAGAAGGUCUUCGGAUUGUAAAGCACUUUAAGUUGGGAGGAAGGGCAUUAACCUAAUACGUUAGUGUUUUGACGUUACCGACAGAAUAAGCACCGGCUAACUCUGUGCCAGCAGCCGCGGUAAUACAGAGGGUGCAAGCGUUAAUAGGAAUUAAUGGGCGUAAAGCGCGCGUAGGUGGUUUGUUAAGUUGGAUGUGAAAUCCCCGGGCUCAACCUGGGAACUGCAUUCAAAACUGACUGACUAGAGUAUGGUAGAGGGUGGUGGAAUUUCCUGUGUAGCGGUGAAAUGCGUAGAUAUAGGAAGGAACACCAGUGGCGAAGGCGACCACCUGGACUAAUACUGACACUGAGGUGCGAAAGCGUGGGGAGCAAACA
Molecule: ribosomal RNA, 427 nt
Filed under: uncultured bacterium
Lineage: Bacteria
Description: partial 16S ribosomal RNA
Rfam family: Bacterial small subunit ribosomal RNA
Source: RNAcentral